ACGGGAGGCAGCAGUGGGGAAUAUUGCACAAUGGGCGAAAGCCUGAUGCAGCGACGCCGCGUGAGUGAUGAAGUAUUUCAGUAUGUAAAGCUCUAUCAGCAGGGAAGAAAAAUGACGGUACCUGACUAAGAAGCACCGGCUAAAUACGUGCCAGCAGCCGCGGUAAUACGUAUGGUGCAAGCGUUAUCCGGAUUUACUGGGUUUAAAGGGUGCGUAGGCGGACGCGUAAGUCAGUGGUGAAAUAUGUCGGCUCAACCGGCAGGCUGCCAUUGAUACUGCGCGACUAGAGUCCAAACGGCGCCGGCGGAAUAUGUCAUGUAGCGGUGAAAUGCUUAGAUAUGACAUAGAACACCGAUCGCGAAGGCGGCUGGCGAGGAUGCGACUGACGCUGAGGCACGAAGGCGUGGGGAUCGAACAGGAUUAGAUACCCUGGUA
This 435-nucleotide ribosomal RNA is filed under the name uncultured Lachnospiraceae bacterium. RNAcentral describes it as "partial 16S ribosomal RNA". It matches the Rfam family "Bacterial small subunit ribosomal RNA", at positions 341 to 792 of the family's 1533-position model. Lineage: Bacteria; Bacillati; Bacillota; Clostridia; Lachnospirales; Lachnospiraceae. The record is from RNAcentral.